This is a long non-coding RNA of Physeter macrocephalus (sperm whale), 3250 nucleotides long. RefSeq lists it as uncharacterized. Lineage: Eukaryota; Metazoa; Chordata; Mammalia; Artiodactyla; Physeteridae. The record is from RefSeq and is a predicted model, not a curated record. The transcript has 8 exons.
UUCUCAGGGCUGCAAAUUACUUCAAAUAAACAAGCUAGUACGUAAAAAGUAAUGGCUGGAAUGCUUGGUUUCCACUAAAUGAUUAUGCUAUGGGAACAUUGCGCCUUCUGGAAUACCGGGGUAAGGUGAUGGAUGGACAGCCGGUGCACAGAAUGUUCUGUUCUGAGCUGCAAGUUGGUGGCUUUCAUUCUCGUGCUUGGCCUUGCACAGGUUCGCAAUCAGCGAGGAGAACUUGAGCUCUCAGGGUUCUCUGGGAGCCUGUCUCCUUUGCCCGGGGCCAGGUUCUGGCGCAGAGAGUGGAUUCCAGAGCCGGCCCUGCCUGCGCUGCUUGUGAGCCUGGCUGACAAGCUCACCUCAGCCAGAUGGAAGCUGCCGUUAGCAUAUCUUCAGGGAGCAGAGGCUCCCCAGGGAAACGUGUAUUUCUCAACACGGCCACCGUGGGAGGUUUUGUGGAAGGAGGGUCUACUGCGGUUGCUGGGGACGACAGCAAAUGAACUCAGGAGACAGAGAAGCCACCAGGAGAGACACGUACUCUGGAGGGUGAGGAAGCUGGGCCACGGGCAGCCCAGCUGAACAUGAAAGGGAUUAAAGUACUUGUGGUACAUGGUGAGGUGGCAUUUCUGUUUGAAAUGAAAGGAGAGAGGGUUUCCCGGUAGCCUUGGUAUGUCGCAUCAUCUUUCUGGCAGAGAGUGAAGGCCACCAGACACGGGGAUGGAAUGGCUCUGCAGUUCCCAGCGGCCUUGCGGAGCUACUGUGUCAUAAGCCAGAGAGCAACUGAAAUUACACAUACGUCCAUAUUUGCUGUUGUUGAAAGAUCAUCGAAGCAAGAUUCCCGGGGCACAGCUUUGUGGCCCUUCUCAAGCUGGUCCAGGAAUUGUUUACGAGGCCGGGUUUAACACGAUGCCAGGAAUUGUGUAUCACUACUGGACUUCUUGGAUAUCUGCUGGAAUCAAGGAGCCAGACGAGAGGGAGGGAAAUCAUCUGAGUGAGAAGGAGGGGGGAACCGGAGCCAAUUCUCUCGGUGACUCGGGAUGACCUGCCCUUGUGCUCACACUGCCCUGUAGCCUUCUGCUGGCAGGACCUCGUGUACUGCUGAUAUUUUUAUCUCUGUGUUAAGUGGUACUUUACCUUUAUUGUUCUGGUUCCCCAUCAACACAGCUUGCCAUCUUCCCUUCCUGCCUUCUUUCUUGGCACUGAAGACACACACCUGCCUGCCUUUCCAAUCUUUCUGGCAGGCCUGGGGUAACAAGAGGAGGGCAGGAGGUUGCCAGCAGGAUCCCCCUCCAGCAGUGGGCUGUGCUGAGAAAGUGCAGGAAAAGCAGGUGGGCCCUGUAGGCUCCUGGCCGCUGGCAGGCUAUGUCCCUUCAGAGUGGCUCGUCAGGGCCCUGCCUGGUCAGUUUGCUCAGUCCUGGGUCAUGUGCAAGUGUUCCACGCACAGGCCGCCCAGGAGGAAAAGACCAGAAACAACCACCCCCCACCUCAUGUGAGAGGCCCUCGGCACCCCACGGCCAGCUGUUUUGCAGCCAGGCGGUACUGAGCGUCCUUUGUUUCUCGCAGCGAUGACUUCCCUCUUUGGGUCAAUUAUGCAGCCUAAGAGCUGUUAUUACUUCUGAACAAAGUGUGCCGUGCAGCCUGUGGCAGCUUUAAGGGCAGCCUUGACAGCCAGCACCCUGCCACCCUCCAAAGACAGGGGGAGAGGGUGCCCCCAGCAGGUGGCGGUUGCUUGGCUGGCUGCUUGGUCUUGUGGCCACCACCCUGCCAGGGCCAUGAGUUACCAGAGGGCAUUUGCUUGUUCGGGAGACCCAUGGGAGGAGCUGACGUGCCUGGGGAGAUGCUCAGAGGGUCCUCCUUUUGACCUGCCUUGGAGGCCAGCUCAGCAGCGUGAAGAAAAGCUGUGGGGCUCAGUUUGUCCCUGGGUGCCUCGCUCAAGAGAACUGAAGUUCAAGGCACAACAGGAUCAGCAGGCCGGUGGCCACCUCCACCAGACAUCCAGGUGUGCAGAGAUGGGCCCGUUCAAAUCGGACAGCGAUAGCUUACUUCCUAAUCAACGCCUUGGUCAUGGCUCUGAGAAGGCCAAGUGACCACGACAGCAGCCGAGCCUGCAGCCUCCUCCGAGACCCAGCUGCCCUGAGCAAGGCGAUGAUAGGACAUGCUGGUGACUGGAUUUCCAGGUGGGGCUGCCCUUGAUCAGGAGGAGGGGCAUUUGCAGCUGCAAGUGGACCCUGACUCCAGACCCAGGAGGGAGUUUCCGCAGGGCAGUAAAAGGAGAAGCGGUGAUUGGCUGCUGGGUAUCCGGACCCUCCCCCAGGAGCACCACGCCCACCCUUGCACGCUCAAGGUCUCACCCACACUGCUCCUGACAAGGAGUCAGAGCCGAGGGGAGCUGCCUGUCCCCCAGCCCAGAGGCAGCACAGGGGUUGCCUCCCCCAGUCGGUCAACAGGCCCAGUUAUUGGAACAAGCUCUGAAAGGAAACAAGAGCUGCCCAGAGGGGCCGGGGCCUCCAGGACUGGCAUCUAGAGGUGGGCACCCAGCUUGCUGCCUCAGGCCUCUGAUCAUGGCGGGAGUCUGAACUGAAGCUCUCUGACAGUCUGACUUCGAUGUUCCUACACCUUUCUGGAAAUUGUGCCCCCAGUGAACUGUGCUGGAGGUCUUGCUGUGAGGCUCUGAGGCCAUCAGGGGUCACAGACGUUGCCCGGCUGCUCCUCUGGUUUCGCUUGCUCUGGGGGAAGCCAGCUGACCUGCUGUGAGGACAUUCAAGUAGCUCGAGGAUCAUCCAACUUGCCCGCCGGGAGUGACUGCAGCCUCCGCUGUCCCCUGACUGACCCUCCUGAGACCCUGAGCUGGAAAAACCCAGAAACCACUGGAAAUAAGAAGAAAGGGACUGCUGACCUACCUGUUUGCCUGGACAUCUAGAAAAUAAUUUUAAAUAUUUAUAUGUGAUCUGCAAGAGAUUACACAUUUGCCACGGAGAACUUCAAUUAUUAGGUACAUGCACCUAUGGGCCUCACAAGCCUGUCCAGAAUCAGAUCGCCCAAGAGCACCCACCAUAGUCAACUGAAGUACAUCAGAGCUGACAUUCAUAAAGAGCCAUCAGUCACCCUGUUUCGACUGGAAAAGGAACGUGCAAGAUGCCAAGUGGUAAACUAUGACGGAAAUCUGUUUUUUGGAGCUGGUGUAUUUGGCGUUAAAAGAGAACAAUUAGAUUUCCAACAUCUUAAAUGAUUUUUACAGUGCAUGUUCAUGUCAAAG